This 473-nucleotide ribosomal RNA is filed under the name uncultured bacterium. RNAcentral's name for it is "bacterial SSU rRNA". It matches the Rfam family "Bacterial small subunit ribosomal RNA", at positions 355 to 825 of the family's 1533-position model. The record is from RNAcentral.
UGGGGAAUAUUGGACAAUGGGGGAAACCCUGAUCCAGCGACGCCGCGUGGGUGAUGAAGGCUUUCGGGUCGUAAAGCCCUGUCAGGAGGAAAGAAUGCUCCUAUGAUAAAUACUCAUAGGAAGUGACGGUACCUCCAAAGGAAGCACCGGCCAACUCCGUGCCAGCAGCCGCGGUAAGACGGAGGGUGCAAGCGUUGCUCGGAAUUACUGGGCGUAAAGGGUGCGUAGGCGGCCUUUCAAGUCCGGCGUGAAAGCCCAGGGCUCAGCCUUGGAAGUGCGCUAGAAACUGAAUGGCUAGAGUAUCGGAUGGGAGAGUGGAAUUCCUGGUGUAGCGGUGAAAUGCGUAGAUAUCAGGAGGAAUACCGGUGGCGAAGGCGACUCUCUGGACGAUAACUGACGCUGAGGCACGAAAGCGUGGGGAGCAAACAGGAUUAGAUACCCCUGUAGUCCCUGAGCGGGCUGGCAAGGCGCAU